Penaeus monodon (black tiger shrimp) is the source of this 1484-nucleotide long non-coding RNA. RefSeq lists it as uncharacterized. The transcript is spliced from 2 exons. Lineage: Eukaryota; Metazoa; Arthropoda; Malacostraca; Decapoda; Penaeidae. The record is from RefSeq and is a predicted model, not a curated record.
AUGGUUUCAGAUAUCCGCUAGUGUCUCUCGAACGGAGACGUGUUUCCGACCUCGGAAGUGUUUUGAAAAUACGCUCGUUGCGAGAAACGAGAGAGUACCUUGAUUUACGAUACAAACAAGCAUCAUACGAUCCCUCCCGUACAUGCGUUAGUAAAUCCGGCCCCUUGACCGCACCUACUUCUCGCUUUAGUAACACUACACAUACUUUUUUUUUUAGCAACAUGGAGCACAAGGACUUAUUCUCUGUUCUCGCCAAAGUUUCGUGUAUGAUUUUAUGAAGAAAGAAGAAAGGAAGUCAAAAAGUUUAUGAGUGAAAGUGGAGAAAAUAGGAGACUUACGUGGUUUCAAUAAGCUCGUGAGGGAGUUAUAACUGGAGGACAGCUGCGGUUUCUACGAAUUUCACAGGAUGAACAAGGAGCAUUUUUAUAAGUUGUUUAAUCUUGUGAGGUGAGAAGGGCAAUUCAAGCAGACCAAAACUUGCCAUUAACACUUCGACAUGUAGCAACGGGAGAAUCACGUCGUUCACUGAUGUAUCAGUACAGGAUAAGCCAUUGUCAGAUCUCGAGGAUUAUUCCUGAAGUGUGUAAAGCCAUUUACGACACUAUGAAAGGCAAUACUUUCAGCUGCUAUCAACAUCUGAAGGGUGACAAGAUGUAGCAAGUGCUUUCAGUACACUCUGGAGCAUUGAUGGCAAGCGAUUUUUGAUGCAAUGGCCGACAGAUACUACGAUAAUAAGGCUCACCGCAGCGUUAUCAUGCUUGCUUGGUUAAUGCUUUGUAUGUUGACCAGCACCACUUGCACGACCUUGUGGCUCAAGCCCCAAGGCCGUGCAAGUGAUGCUGGUCAAGGAGCAGCUGUGAAUCCUCCAUAAUUAUCUCAGGGUAAAAUGUGAAGCAACUGCACAGACUGAGUUGUUAGAUAAUGAAAAUCAUGCUGCAGGAAUUAGACUACAGUAAGGUGUUGAAGGAUUGCAGGUUAGGAAGAGUAAGACAUAUAUUUUCUCUCUCUCUCUCAUCUGUUACAAAUACCAUGGCAGGAGAGGAUGGCUCUACAUCAGAAGGAAAGUUUUGAUUGGGAGUAUUCUGUUUUUUGUUUUUUGUUUUUUUUUUCUUUCUUUCUUUCUUUUUUUUUUUUUUUUUUUAAGUAAUAAUGUCGACUGUUCACUGAUGUUUGCUAAAAUGUUUAUAUUUUUUUGUAUAAAUUCAUCUUCGUUGAAAUUAGAAGGUUGGUAGUAUUGUCAUGUUUGUUUAUUGUAGUUAUAAGCUUUGUGUUUUAUAAUAUUGUAAUUUGAAAGAUAUUGUCGAUUUUUCAGACCCGAGGAUAGAAUCCAGGUGGAUUUCGAAACUAGUCUCAUUUUCAAUAAAUCUAGUUUUUUGUAUUGUGAAUUUUUCUUCCAUUGUCGAUUUUGUAAUAUCUUGUUUAUUGUCUAAGAAGUGUUACUGAUUCUACUAUAUGUUUUGUGAUAAUAUAAAUUUGUGUAUUUA